Xiphophorus maculatus (southern platyfish) is the source of this 234-nucleotide long non-coding RNA. RefSeq lists it as uncharacterized. NCBI's taxonomy places the organism in Eukaryota, Metazoa, Chordata, Actinopteri, Cyprinodontiformes, Poeciliidae. The record is from RefSeq and is a predicted model, not a curated record. The transcript has 3 exons.
CCUGAACAUACAACCCAAACCAACCCAGCAGAACCAAACAGAACAGAACAAAAUGCUCGAUUAGGACAUCUACCCACGGCCGGAUGUAAGUAAUAACUCACUGGACAACAGAAGACAUAUUAAUCCUGAGCUGAAAAUAGACCCUUAACACUGCGUCAUGUAGGAGUAGUCGCUCUGCAGCUGGCCCUUCAUGUCCUCGAUGGCGUCCUCCAUGUGCGUCUGGCUGGCCUUGAU